Molecule: ribosomal RNA, 420 nt
Filed under: Fusobacteriota bacterium
Lineage: Bacteria; Fusobacteriati; Fusobacteriota
Description: Fusobacteria bacterium partial 16S ribosomal RNA
Rfam family: Bacterial small subunit ribosomal RNA
Source: RNAcentral
UGGGGGAUAUUGCACAAUGGGCGAAAGCCUGAUGCAGCGACGCCGCGUGGGGGAUGAAGGCCUUCGGAUUGUAAACUUCUUUUGCUCUGAACAAGGCAUGCCUUUGGGGUGUGUUGAGUGUAGGGGUUGAUUAGCGCCGGCUAACUACGUGCCAGCAGCCGCGGUAAUACGUAGGGCGCGAGCGUUGUCCGGAAUUAUUGGGCGUAAAGGGCUUGUAGGUGGCUGGUUGCGUCUGUCGUGAAAGCUCAUGGCUUAACUGUGGGUUUGCGGUGGGUACGGGCUGGCUUGAGUGCAGUAGGGGAGGCUGGAAUUCCUGGUGUAGCGGUGGAAUGCGCAGAUAUCAGGAGGAAUACCGGUGGCGAAGGCGGGUCUCUGGGCUGUUACUGACGCUGAGGAGCGAAAGCGUGGGGAGCGAACAGG